Molecule: ribosomal RNA, 1290 nt
Filed under: metagenome
Description: bacterial LSU rRNA
Rfam family: Bacterial large subunit ribosomal RNA
Source: RNAcentral
UUGAAUGAAGACCGUACCGUAAACCGACACAGGUGGGUAGGAUGAGAAUUCUAAGGCGCUUGAGAGAACUCAGGAGAAGGAACUCGGCAAAAUAGCACCGUAACUUCGGGAAAAGGUGUGCCCUUUGUAUGUGUAACGCCUCGCGCGUGAAGCAGAAUAGGGUUGCAAUGAAAUGGUGGCUGCGACUGUUUAAUAAAAACAUAGCACUCUGCAAACACGAAAGUGGACGUAUAGAGUGUGACGCCUGCCCGGUGCCGGAAGGUUAAAUGAUGGGGUGCAAGCUCUUGAUUGAAGCCCCGGUAAACGGCGGCCGUAACAAUAACGGUCCUAAGGUAGCGAAAUUCCUUGUCGGGUAAGUUCCGACCUGCACGAAUGGCGUAACGAUGGCCACACUGUCUCCUCCUGGGACUCAGCGAAGUUGAAAUGUUUGUGAAGAUGCAAUCUCCCCGCGGCUAGACGGAAAGACCCCGUGCACCUUUACUGUAGCUUUACAUUGGACUUUGAUAACAUUUGUGUAGGAUAGGUGGGAGGCUUUGAAGUGGAUUCGCUAGAAUUCAUGGAGCCAACGUUGAAAUACCACCCUGAUGUUGUUGAGGUUCUAACCUAGAUCCAUUAUCUGGAUUGGGGACCGUUAUGGUAGGCAGUUUGACUGGGGCGGUCUCCUCCCAAAUUGUAACGGAGGAGUACGAAGGUACGCUAGGUACGGUCGGAAAUCGUGCUGAUAGUGCAAUGGCAAAAGCGUGCUUAACUGCGAGACUGACAAGUCGAGCAGAUGCGAAAGCAGGUCAUAGUGAUCCGGUGGUUCUGUAUGGAAGGGCCAUCGCUCAACGGAUAAAAGGUACGCCGGGGAUAACAGGCUGAUUCCUCCCAAGAGUUCAUAUCGACGGGGGAGUUUGGCACCUCGAUGUCGGCUCAUCACAUCCUGGGGCUGUAGCCGGUCCCAAGGGUAUGGCUGUUCGCCAUUUAAAGUGGUACGUGAGCUGGGUUUAAAACGUCGUGAGACAGUUUGGUCCCUAUCUGCCGUGGGCGUUGGAAGUUUGAGUGGACCUGCUCCUAGUACGAGAGGACCGGAGUGGACGCACCUCUGGUGUACCGGUUAUGACGCCAGUCGUAUCGCCGGGUAGCUAUGUGCGGAAGAGAUAACCGCUGAAAGCAUCUAAGCGGGAAACUCUCCUCAAGAUGAGACUUCCCGAGGGUUUAACCCUCCUAAAGGUUCGUCGAAGACUACGACGUUGAUAGGUCGGGUGUGGAAGCAUAGUGAUAUGUUAAGCUAACCGAUACUAAUUGACC